RNAcentral lists this transfer RNA (73 nucleotides) under Stegodyphus mimosarum. It matches the Rfam family "tRNA". From Rfam's summary of the family: Transfer RNA (tRNA) molecules are approximately 80 nucleotides in length. The record is from Rfam by way of RNAcentral. Lineage: Eukaryota; Metazoa; Arthropoda; Arachnida; Araneae; Eresidae.
ACCUUCGUGGUGUAGCGGUCAGCACGCUCGACGUGUAACCGAGAGGUCCGUGGUUCGAUUCCCGGCGAAGGCC